GGAUGUGAGGGCGAUCUGGCUGCGACAUCUGUCACCCCAUUGAUCGCCAGGGUUGAUUCGGCUGAUCUGGCUGGCUAGGCGGGUGUCCCCUUCCUCCCUCACCGCUCCAUGUGCGUCCCUCCCGAAGCUGCGCGCUCGGUGGAAGAGGACGACCAUCCCAGAUAGAAGGAGUGUACCAUUCUUCGGUCAAGGGUAUACGAUAGCUGCGCUCCCCUGCUAGAACCUCCAAACAAACCUUUUUCAAAGAAUGCCAGAUUUGAUGAAGUGAACAUACGUGAGGGCCAGCCAAAGUUGUUGAGAGCUUUUUUU
This is a non-coding RNA of Podarcis lilfordi (Lilford's wall lizard), 309 nucleotides long. NCBI's taxonomy places the organism in Eukaryota, Metazoa, Chordata, Lepidosauria, Squamata, Lacertidae. The record is from the annotation of a GenBank genome assembly.